AUGCAAGUCGAGCGAGGCGGCCCGCAAGGGUCAGUCGAGCGGCGAACGGGUGAGUAACGCGUGGAUUAUCUGCCCUGAGGUGGGGGAUAACCCGGGGAAACUCGGGCUAAUACCGCAUAUGACCGUGAGGUCAAAGGGGGGUCGCAAGAUCUCUCGCCAUAGGAGGAGUCCGCGUCCGAUUAGCUAGUUGGUAGGGUAAUGGCCUACCAAGGCGACGAUCGGUAGCUGGCCUGAGAGGGUGAUCGGCCACACUGGAACUGAGACACGGUCCAGACUCCUACGGGAGGCAGCAGUGGGGAAUUUUGCGCAAUGGGCUAACGCCUGACGCAGCAACGCCGCGUGGAGGAUGAAGGUCCUUGGAUUGUAAACUCCUGUCAGCAGGGAAAAAGCAACCUGACCUCAUACGUCAGGAAGUUGAUUGUACCUGCAGAGGAAGCCCCGGCUAACUCUGUGCCAGCAGCCGCGGUAAUACAGAGGGGGCAAGCGUUAUUCGGAAUUAUUGGGCGUAAAGGGCGCGUAGGCGGCCUGACAAGUGGAUGGUGAAAUCCCUCGGCUUAACCGAGGAACUGCCAUCCAGACUGUUUGGCUUGAGACCGGGAGAGGUGAGUGGAAUUCCCAGUGUAGCG
This 626-nucleotide ribosomal RNA is filed under the name uncultured soil bacterium. RNAcentral describes it as "bacterial SSU rRNA". It matches the Rfam family "Bacterial small subunit ribosomal RNA", at positions 55 to 680 of the family's 1533-position model. The record is from RNAcentral.